UUGACCUCGGAUCAGGUAGGGAUACCCGCUGAACUUAAGCAUAUCAAUAAGCGGAGGAAAAGAAACCAACAGGGAUUGCCUCAGUAACGGCGAGUGAAGCGGCAAAAGCUCAAAUUUGAAAUCUGGCUCCUUCGGGGCCCGAGUUGUAAUUUGCAGAGGAUGCUUCGGGCGUGGCCGCGGUCUAAGUCCCCUGGAACGGGGCGUCGCAGAGGGUGAGAAUCCCGUCUUCGGCCGGCCGGCUUCGCCCGUAUGAAGCUCCUUCGACGAGUCGAGUUGUUUGGGAAUGCAGCUCUAAAUGGGUGGUAAAUUUCAUCUAAAGCUAAAUAUUGGUCGGAGACCGAUAGCGCACAAGUAGAGUGAUCGAAAGAUGAAAAGCACUUUGAAAAGAGAGUUAAACAGCAUGUGAAAUUGUUGAAAGGGAAGCGCUUGCGACCAGAGUCGGCCGCGGGGGUUCAGCGGGCAUUCGUUGCCCGUGCACUCCCCCGCGGGCGGGCCAGCGUCGGUUUUGACGGCCGGUCAAAGGCCCCCGGAAUGUGUCGCCUCUCGGGGCGUCUUAUAGCCGGGGGUGCAAUGCGGCCAGUCGGGACCGAGGAACGCGCUUCGGCACGGACGCUGGCUUAAUGGUCGUAAGCGACC
RNAcentral lists this ribosomal RNA (636 nucleotides) under Blastomyces parvus. RNAcentral's name for it is "eukaryotic LSU rRNA". It matches the Rfam family "Eukaryotic large subunit ribosomal RNA", at positions 1 to 649 of the family's 3401-position model. The record is from RNAcentral. Lineage: Eukaryota; Fungi; Ascomycota; Eurotiomycetes; Onygenales; Ajellomycetaceae.